RNAcentral lists this ribosomal RNA (432 nucleotides) under uncultured bacterium. RNAcentral describes it as "bacterial SSU rRNA". It matches the Rfam family "Bacterial small subunit ribosomal RNA", at positions 960 to 1391 of the family's 1533-position model. The record is from RNAcentral.
CGCGAAGAACCUUACCUAAGCUUGACAUCCUUUUGACCUCUCCCUAAUCGGAGAUUUCCCUUCGGGGACAGAAGUGACAGGUGGUGCAUGGUUGUCGUCAGCUCGUGUCGUGAGAUGUUGGGUUAAGUCCCGCAACGAGCGCAACCCUUGCCUUUAGUUGCCAGCAUUAAGUUGGGCACUCUAGAGGGACUGCCAGGGAUAACCUGGAGGAAGGUGGGGAUGACGUCAAAUCAUCAUGCCCCUUAUGCUUAGGGCUACACACGUGCUACAAUGGGUGGUACAGAGGACAGCCAAGUCGUGAGGCGGAGCUAAUCCCUUAAAGCCAUUCUCAGUUCGGAUUGUAGGCUGAAACUCGCCUACAUGAAGCUGGAGUUACUAGUAAUCGCAGAUCAGAAUGCUGCGGUGAAUGCGUUCCCGGGUCUUGUACACACC